GCACGCCGAGUCUGCCUUCGGGCGGGCGACAUUCGCCUGUAGCUGGAAGGUUCCCCCCGGGUCCACGGGGGCAACGAUCAGCUGCUGCACGCCUGAACCGUGCAGUUCACAGAUCAAACGCGAGUGGCCCGCGCCCGCGGGUUGAGAUAUGACCGUAGCAGCUCUGCGAAGAGCCUGACACCCUAGUUCCGUAGGUGAACCUGCGGAAGGAUCAUUA
This 217-nucleotide ribosomal RNA is filed under the name Caloplaca monacensis. RNAcentral describes it as "partial 18S ribosomal RNA". Lineage: Eukaryota; Fungi; Ascomycota; Lecanoromycetes; Teloschistales; Teloschistaceae. The record is from RNAcentral.